This 253-nucleotide ribosomal RNA is filed under the name uncultured bacterium. RNAcentral describes it as "partial 16S ribosomal RNA". It matches the Rfam family "Bacterial small subunit ribosomal RNA", at positions 524 to 776 of the family's 1533-position model. The record is from RNAcentral.
UACGUAGGGUGCGAGCGUUAAUCGGAAUUACUGGGCGUAAAGCGUGCGCAGGCGGCUUACUAAGACAGGUGUGAAAGCCCCGAGCUUAACUUGGGAAUGGCGCUUGUGACUGGUAGGCUGGAGUGUGGCAGAGGGAGGUGGAAUUCCACGUGUAGCAGUGAAAUGCGUAGAGAUGUGGAGGAACACCGAUGGCGAAGGCAGCCCCCUGGGCUGAGAUUGACGCUCAGGCACGAAAGCGUGGGGAGCAAACAGG